This 183-nucleotide ribosomal RNA is filed under the name Triticum aestivum (bread wheat). RNAcentral describes it as "partial small subunit ribosomal RNA". Lineage: Eukaryota; Viridiplantae; Streptophyta; Magnoliopsida; Poales; Poaceae. The record is from RNAcentral.
GAUUGCGGCAGCGCGUGCUCGUACCGGUGCAGCAAGUCGAGCCGGCCGAAUCUGUGCAACAGGGCGUGCAACACGUGCUGCCGGCGAUGCGACUGCGUGCCGCCCGGCACCGCCGGCAACGAGGGCGUCUGCCCCUGCUACGCCAACAUGACCACGCACAACGGCCGCCACAAGUGCCCGUGA